RNAcentral lists this ribosomal RNA (212 nucleotides) under Terribacillus saccharophilus. RNAcentral's name for it is "partial 23S ribosomal RNA". It matches the Rfam family "Bacterial large subunit ribosomal RNA", at positions 2365 to 2576 of the family's 2925-position model. Lineage: Bacteria; Bacillati; Bacillota; Bacilli; Caryophanales; Bacillaceae. The record is from RNAcentral.
GAGCUUGACUGCGAGACCUACAAGUCGAGCAGGGACGAAAGUCGGGCUUAGUGAUCCGGCGGUGCCGUAUGGAAGGGCCGUCGCUCAACGGAUAAAAGCUACCCCGGGGAUAACAGGCUUAUCUCCCCCAAGAGUCCACAUCGACGGGGAGGUUUGGCACCUCGAUGUCGGCUCAUCGCAUCCUGGGGCUGUAGUCGGUCCCAAGGGUUGGG